CAAGAUGGCAGCGCCCUGGUGGAAAAGGACAAGCUUCUCAUGUCGGGGACCGGAGCUGUGUGGGGCCGAGUGCGAAGCCGGAUACAGAGCUUUCCGGAGAGGCUGGCCACUUGUGGAGUCGAGGCAGCAGCUUAUGGGAAGUGUAUACAGGCCGCCACGGCCCCUGGCGGGGACCUGAGGAGGAAUCUCUGUGCCAAGGAGUUCGAAGCCCUGCGGAAUUGCUUCCUGGCGGUUGCCAAGAAGACCUUGAACUGAGGCAUUAGGAUGGACUUUAAAUCACCAGAAUAUAUCUUCUACUUGGUCCUUCCCAUCAAUAUGAAGUCAAAUAACAAUAUUAACUAUAGCACCAAGGCAUGGAACACCUGAAGCUCUUAGAAAUCUGAUGGAUAGUUGCCUGGCUUCAACUUCCACUAAGAUUUCUGUCUCCAUGCCUACCCUUCUCUCAGCCAACUUCCUGCAAUUCAUUGGACCUGGAUAGUUCUAAUCAACAAGUGCACCAAAAUCUGUGCCCACUGCCUCACCUUGCCUUGACUUAUC
RNA transcript from Gracilinanus agilis (Agile Gracile Mouse Opossum), 537 nucleotides. It is a transcript of the gene named NADH:ubiquinone oxidoreductase complex assembly factor 8, with no coding region annotated. The record is from RefSeq and is a predicted model, not a curated record. The transcript is spliced from 5 exons. Lineage: Eukaryota; Metazoa; Chordata; Mammalia; Didelphimorphia; Didelphidae.